CACGUCAGCGCGCUUUGCUGACGUGGCAACAAAUCACGUCCACGAGGGGCGAUUUGUUGCCACGUCAGCAAAAGCGUUGACGUGG
This is a non-coding RNA of Gossypium raimondii (Peruvian cotton), 85 nucleotides long. The record is from Rfam. Lineage: Eukaryota; Viridiplantae; Streptophyta; Magnoliopsida; Malvales; Malvaceae.